Molecule: ribosomal RNA, 344 nt
Filed under: uncultured bacterium
Lineage: Bacteria
Description: partial 16S ribosomal RNA
Rfam family: Bacterial small subunit ribosomal RNA
Source: RNAcentral
CCUACGGGUGGCAGCAGUAGGGAAUAUUGCUCAAUGGGGGAAACUCUGAAGCAGCAACGCCGCGUGGAGGAUGAAGGUUUUCUGAUUGUAAACCUCUUUUGUUAGGGAAGAUAAUGACGGUAUCUAACGAAUACUCACCGGCUAACUCCGUGCCAGCAGCCGCGGCAAUACGGAGGGUGCAAGCGUUACACGGAAUCACUGGGCGUAAACCGCGCGUAGGCGGGAUAGCAAGUCAGAUGUGAAAUCCUUUGGCUUAACCAUAGAACUGCAUUUGAAACUGUUAGUCUAGAGAGUGGGCGCGGUAGGUGGAAUUGUUGGUGUAGCGGUAAAAUCCGUAGAGAUCA